AACCAUCAGCUAUUAUUGUCAGGAUGAUGAUGAUGAUGCACAUGUGCAGAGAUGGGGAAGAGAAGAAAAAUUACUUAGGAGUGUUCAUUAUGUACCACAUACCUACAUGAUCUCUCCAUAUGAUCUCAGAUACUUAUUUGUAUUCCCUUUUAUUAUAAAGGUGAGGAACUUAAAAUUCAGGGUGGUUAUAUAUGGAAGGAAUAGAAUGAGUUAUUAGACCCAUUUCUAGGACUAAGGACAAGAUAAAUACUGAAAGGUGCCUGACCAGGAGAUAGCAAAACGCUGAGAAAGGAGAUGAGAAACAGACCUGUAGAGCCACACCACCCUUCGGGACCAAGGGACAGUGUUGUAAUUUUCAGGACUGAGUGGGUGCCCAACCCAAUCUGUAUCAGAAAACUGUGCUUUGGAAAUUCAGCUGUUUUUACACUAGUUGUAUUUUCUGUAAAUAUUUCUUGUUUUGUUCUCCUGUUGUACGUACUGAAAUUAUUUCUGAAUUGCCAGUCUGUCUCGUUUGUACUUUGAGAGAGCCAAAAGGAAAAAAGAAUUUUCGGGCAUCUUCUGCAGGAGCUACAUGUCAGACACCAGGUGUCCUGGGCUUCAAAUGCCAGAAGCCCAAGACAGAAAAGAAAUGCAAGGAAGAAAAUCCUCUUCCCCAGAGGCUUCUACAGUGUUCUCUGCUCUAACCUUAGAAGGCUUUGAACAGUGUUGCCUAGAGAAUGGCCUUUUACUUACUCAUCCGUCCAGCAUGACUCAUCCCCAAGACUGUUGAGUUGUGAGUGCAUGAACAUUAUUGACAACAAUACCAUUGUUAUGUAAAAUGUUGACAUUAGGAAAAACUGGAUAAAGAUGUUUAAAUCACCCAUGGUUUAUGGGUAAUUAAGCCAAUUAUCCUUCUGCUGUUUAUGUUGAAUUAUCUAGUCUUCCCCCACUGAUUUGAAAUGCCACCCUGAGGAGUACCUGGCUGGCUCAGGCAGUUGAGCAUGCGACUCUUGAUCUUGGGGGUUGUGAGUUCAAACCCCAUGUUGC
Long non-coding RNA from Lynx canadensis (Canada lynx), 1026 nucleotides. RefSeq lists it as uncharacterized. The transcript is spliced from 3 exons. Lineage: Eukaryota; Metazoa; Chordata; Mammalia; Carnivora; Felidae. The record is from RefSeq and is a predicted model, not a curated record.